UCUGGAAUAGCUUGGUUGGUAGAGCAUGAGACUCGUAACCUCAGGGUUGUGGGUUCGAGUCCCGUGUUGGGCAAAA
Molecule: non-coding RNA, 76 nt
Organism: Podarcis lilfordi (Lilford's wall lizard)
Lineage: Eukaryota; Metazoa; Chordata; Lepidosauria; Squamata; Lacertidae
Source: the annotation of a GenBank genome assembly